RNAcentral lists this transfer RNA (81 nucleotides) under Amycolatopsis sp. M39. Its description in RNAcentral is "tRNA-Arg". The record is from RNAcentral. Lineage: Bacteria; Bacillati; Actinomycetota; Actinomycetes; Pseudonocardiales; Pseudonocardiaceae.
GGAUCGGGGGCAGCCGCAUCCGGUGCCGCCGGUUCCGGCUCGGCCAAGCCCGACGCUGCCGGUUCGGGUCCGGCUGGUUCC